Molecule: transfer RNA, 54 nt
Filed under: Toxostoma ocellatum
Lineage: Eukaryota; Metazoa; Chordata; Aves; Passeriformes; Mimidae
Description: partial tRNA-Glu
Source: RNAcentral
AGAUUCUCGUCUCUCUCCAGGAUCUCCUGAAAAACUGCCGUUAUCAAACAUUUA